RNAcentral lists this ribosomal RNA (700 nucleotides) under Coscinocladium gaditanum. RNAcentral describes it as "SSU rRNA". It matches the Rfam family "Bacterial small subunit ribosomal RNA", at positions 357 to 1140 of the family's 1533-position model. The record is from RNAcentral. Lineage: Eukaryota; Fungi; Ascomycota; Lecanoromycetes; Caliciales; Physciaceae.
AGGAAUGUAUAGCGAAAGCUAGUUGUAUUUAAUUUAUAAAUUGGUGCAGCAUCGACUACGUUGAAUAAAGUUCUAGAUGGGUUAUGAUUAUGACAUUUCCUGUCUAUGUGUCUUGACUAAAUUACGUGCCAGCAGUCGCGGUAAUACGUAGAAGACUAGUGUUAUUCAUCUUUAAUAGGUUUAAAGGGUACCUAGACGGGGAAUCAAGUCCAAAAAAGGAUACUAAUUUUCUAGAGUUUAAUAUGAGGGGGCAUUAAAGUACUGAUAAGUGUAGAGAUGAAAUUCUGUGAUACAAUAUAAGGCACUGGCAAAGGCGAAAGCAUCUCAUUAUGUAAUAACUGACGUUGAGGGACGAAGGCUUUGUGUAGCAAAAAGGAUUAGAUACCCAAGUAGUCUUAGCAGAAAAUUAUGAAUGUCAUAGGAUGGAUAGGAAUUUUUUCUAUAAAUGAAAGUGUAAGCAUUCCACCUCAAGAGUAAUUUGGCAACAUUGGAACUGAAAUCAUUAGACCGUUUCUGAAACAAGUAGUGAAGUAUGUUGUUUAAUUUGAUGACCCGCAAAAAACCUUACCACAAUUUGAAUAGAAAUUUUUAUUUCGUACAAGCGCUGCACGGUUGUCUUCAGUUAAUGUCGUGAGAUCUUGGUUAGUUCCAUUAAAUUAACGUAAACCCUUACUUUAUUUAUAUAUAGAGUAGUUCACCG